GUCAAGUUAGCAAAAUAGUGCAAAUAGUUUAGAACUAUUAUAUGAAGGUUAAAAUCCAUCAUUUGAUA
Molecule: non-coding RNA, 68 nt
Organism: Liolophura sinensis
Lineage: Eukaryota; Metazoa; Mollusca; Polyplacophora; Chitonida; Chitonidae
Source: the annotation of a RefSeq genome assembly